CUCGGCCUCCCAGAGUGCUGGGAUUACAGGUGUGAGCCACCGUGCCCAGCCAAAAUUUUCAUUUUUUGAGACAGAGUCUCACUCUGUCACCUAGGCGGGAGUACAGUGGCGAGCUCUUGGGUUACUGCAACCUCCGCCUUCCUGGCUUAAGCAAUUUUUGUGCCUCAGCCUCCCAAGUAUCUGAGAUUACAGGCGUGUGCCACCACACCCAGCUAUUUUUUAUUUUUUAUUUUUAGUAGAGAUGGGGUUUCGCCAUGUUGGCCAGACUGGUCUGGAACUCCUGGCCUCAAGUGGUCCUCCCACCUCGGCCUCUCAAAGUGCUGGGAUUACAGGCGUGAGCCACCACGUUUAGCUGAGUAUAAUUUUAAAUAGCCCUAUGUGACAAGUGGCUACUUUAUUGGACAGUGUAGAUCUAAGAUUAAUUCCUCAACUGUUUUGCACUCAACAAAGACAUACCUCUGAGUUGGCAACCAGCAGGGUGGAUAACGGGCCAGUGGUGAUAAAAUCAAAGAAUAGGUAAUGAAACAAUCAUCCAGUUAACAAUCAGCAAGGUUCUUCAGAGCCUAAUUAAUGUUUAAUUCUAAAUAAAUUGCAACAAUUAAGAAAA
This 607-nucleotide long non-coding RNA is filed under the name Homo sapiens (human). RNAcentral describes it as "LHRI_LNC111.1". Lineage: Eukaryota; Metazoa; Chordata; Mammalia; Primates; Hominidae. The record is from RNAcentral.